CAAGACGGCCCAAGGUUUCUUGCGUAGCGGACCUCGCAGAUUACGAGAUCGUAUCCUUGCAUUAGGCUGUGCUCAUCACUGCUCUUCGAGGUUAUCUCUACAUGCAGAAGCCGCCAAUGCCAGUGACAGAAGAGUCUGACAUUAGAUCUCUACGCUAUGCGGCACACAGGCAGUACACACUAUGUACACGGCAAAUUGGGCAAGCACGUUCGUUGUCGUCUUCCAGCCUGCGUUGUGAAUACCAUCAGGCAAAGAUAUCCAAAUCCUGCACCACCUCAGCCUUCUCAGGAGGCUUCCACCUGGAAUUUGGCAGGGAAACACGCUUCUCCAAGGCAGGAACAUGGAGGUUGCCAUUUGCAACCGCUACCACCUCACACAUGAGCUUGUCAACAUACUCAUAGCUCUUUCUGUCGUAUAAUUUUCUAUUUGGCCACAGUCUUCUUUAUGCUUUGAGAACUGGACUUUAUACCUUCC
Sycon ciliatum is the source of this 474-nucleotide long non-coding RNA. RefSeq lists it as uncharacterized. Lineage: Eukaryota; Metazoa; Porifera; Calcarea; Leucosolenida; Sycettidae. The record is from RefSeq and is a predicted model, not a curated record. The transcript is spliced from 2 exons.